RNAcentral lists this ribosomal RNA (879 nucleotides) under uncultured bacterium. RNAcentral describes it as "bacterial SSU rRNA". It matches the Rfam family "Bacterial small subunit ribosomal RNA", at positions 8 to 916 of the family's 1533-position model. The record is from RNAcentral.
AGAGUUUGAUCCUGGCUCAGGAUGAACGCUGGCGGCGUGCCUAACACAUGCAAGUCGAGCGAUCUUCUUCGGAAGAGAGCGGCGGACGGGUGAGUAACGCGUGGGUAACCUGCCUCAUACACAUGGAUAACAUACCGAAAGGUAUGCUAAUACAAGAUGAUAUAAGAGAUUCGCAUGGAUCUCUUAUCAAAGCUCCGGCGGUAUGAGAUGGACCCGCGUCUGAUUAGCUAGUUGGUAAGGUAACGGCUUACCAAGGCGACGAUCAGUAGCCGACCUGAGAGGGUGAUCGGCCACAUUGGAACUGAGACACGGUCCAAACUCCUACGGGAGGCAGCAGUGGGGAAUAUUGCACAAUGGGCGAAAGCCUGAUGCAGCAACGCCGCGUGAGCGAUGAAGGCCUUCGGGUCGUAAAGCUCUGUCCUCAAGGAAGAUAAUGACGGUACUUGAGGAGGAAGCCCCGGCUAACUACGUGCCAGCAGCCGCGGUAAUACGUAGGGGGCUAGCGUUAUCCGGAUUUACUGGGCGUAAAGGGUGCGUAGGUGGUUUCUUAAGUCAGGAGUGAAAGGCUACGGCUCAACCGUAGUAAGCUCUUGAAACUGGGAAACUUGAGUGCAGGAGAGGAAAGUGGAAUUCCUAGUGUAGCGGUGAAAUGCGUAGAUAUUAGGAGGAACACCAGUAGCGAAGGUGGCUUUCUGGACUGUAACUGACACUGAGGCACGAAAGCGUGGGGAGCAAACAGGAUUAGAUACCCUGGUAGUCCACGCCGUAAACGAUGAGUACUAGGUGUCGGGGGUUACCCCCCUCGGUGCCGCAGCUAACGCAUUAAGUACUCCGCCUGGGGAGUACGCUCGCAAGAGUGAAACUCAAAUGAAUUGACGG